This 565-nucleotide ribosomal RNA is filed under the name Bacillus tequilensis. RNAcentral describes it as "partial 16S ribosomal RNA". It matches the Rfam family "Bacterial small subunit ribosomal RNA", at positions 38 to 579 of the family's 1533-position model. Lineage: Bacteria; Bacillati; Bacillota; Bacilli; Caryophanales; Bacillaceae. The record is from RNAcentral.
UUCGGGGGCCUAAUACAUGCAAGUCGAGCGGGACAGAUGGGAGCUUGCUCCCUGAUGUUAGCGGCGGCACUUGGGUGAGUAACACGUGGGUAACCUGCCUGUAAGACUGGGCAUAACUCCGGGAAACCGGGGCUAAUACCGGAUGGUUGUUUGAACCGCAUGGUUCAAACAUAAAAGGUGGCUUCGGCUACCACUUACAGAUGGACCCGCGGCGCAUUAGCUAGUUGGUGAGGUAACGGCUCACCAAGGCAACGAUGCGUAGCCGACCUGAGAGGGUGAUCGGCCACACUGGGACUGAGACACGGCCCAGACUCCUACGGGAGGCAGCAGUAGGGAAUCUUCCGCAAUGGACGAAAGUCUGACGGAGCAACGCCGCGUGAGUGAUGAAGGUUUUCGGAUCGUAAAGCUCUGUUGUUAGGGAAGAACAAGUACCGUUCGAUUUUUUUUGGUACCUUGACGGGACCUAACCUGAAUGCCACUUCUAUGGGGGGGGGGGGGGGGCGCAGUAAUACGUAGGUGGCAAGUGUUGACCAGAAUUAUCGCCCUUAUUGUGUUGGGGGGGGGG